AUAGCAGUAAUUUGUUUUACAUUUUUGUUAUACGUGAACACAACCUAGUUUCUUGAAGUCUCAAUCUUUGGUUGUGUUUGUGCUCUGGUGUCAAACAGGCAUUCAAUAAAAUGACUCUUUAAUUCAGUGAAAUAAAUGAAUCAUGGAUUCUUAAUAAUGCCUUUUGUUGGGUUGUGAUUUUUAGGUUAAAACUUCAGCAACAAAUUGUGACUAUUGAAAAUGCAGAGAAGGAAAAAAAUGAAAAUUCUGACCUAAAACAGUGGGCUUUAAUUUAUCUUCUUUCUUCUCUUUUAAGCAAAUCAGUAGUUUGCAGAUCCAAGUGACUUCACUUGCACAGUCAGAGAAUGACUUGCUGAAUUCAAACCAAAUGCUGAAGGAAAUGGUGGAGAGAUUAAAACAAGAAUGCCGAAAUUUUAGAAGCCAAGCUGAAAAAGUGCAACUAGAAGCUGAAAAGACAUUGGAAGAGAAACAGAUACAGUGGUUGGAAGAAAAGCAUAAGCUUCAUGAGCGUAUCACAGACAGAGAAGAAAAGUACAAUCAAGCUAAGGAGAAACUGCAGCGAGCUGCAAUUGCCCAGAAAAAGGCAAGUGGUUCUUA
RNAcentral lists this small RNA (597 nucleotides) under Pan troglodytes (chimpanzee). RNAcentral describes it as "processed transcript". The record is from RNAcentral. Lineage: Eukaryota; Metazoa; Chordata; Mammalia; Primates; Hominidae.